Molecule: ribosomal RNA, 253 nt
Filed under: uncultured bacterium
Lineage: Bacteria
Description: partial 16S ribosomal RNA
Rfam family: Bacterial small subunit ribosomal RNA
Source: RNAcentral
UACGGAGGUGGCUAACGUUGUUCGGAUUCAUUGGGUGUAAAGGGUAUGUAGGUGGCCUUGUAAGUCGGAUGUGAAAUCCUUUGGCUCAACCAAAGAACUGCAUUCGAAACUGCUGGGCUUGAGUUUUGGAGAGGAGAGUGGAAUUCCCGGUGUAAGAGUGAAAUCUGUAGAUAUCGGGAGGAACACCAGUGGCGAAAGCGACUCUCUGGCCAAAAACUGACACUGAAAUACGAAAGCUAGGGGAGAAAACAGG